GGUAUACUGACCUUCAUUGGGAGUUCAUGUAAAGGAAGGGUAAAGAUCGUCGUAAAAACAAAAGAUAAGGAGACGGACUAUCUUGUCUGGUCCUCGAUCGUCCCCGAUGAGUUGAAGAUAAAUAGUAAGAUAAAUAUAAAGACUCUCGAGAAGACUGUAAACGGCAAAUCUUACACGAAUGUUGUUGGGUUGAGCGUCAUUACACCAACAGUACAACAGUCAACCCCAGCUGCAAAACACCGUAAAAGAAUAGCUAAACGACCUACCGUCACUACAAGAGACCCAGAUGCAGAUGAGGACACAGGACCAACCACCAGCGCAGCCAGUCCCAAAAAAGUGA
Molecule: long non-coding RNA, 340 nt
Organism: Bolinopsis microptera
Lineage: Eukaryota; Metazoa; Ctenophora; Tentaculata; Lobata; Bolinopsidae
Exons: 4
Source: RefSeq, a predicted model, not a curated record